Molecule: ribosomal RNA, 450 nt
Filed under: uncultured bacterium
Lineage: Bacteria
Description: partial 16S ribosomal RNA
Rfam family: Bacterial small subunit ribosomal RNA
Source: RNAcentral
GUAAGGAAUAUUGGACAAUGGGCGAAAGCCUGAUCCAGCCAUGCCGCGUGUGUGAAGAAGGUCUUCGGAUUGUAAAGCACUUUAAGUUGGGAGGAAGGGCAGUAAGUUAAUACCUUGCUGUUUUGACGUUACCGACAGAAUAAGCACCGGCUAACUUCGUGCCAGCAGCCGCGGUAAUACGAAGGGUGCAAGCGUUAAUCGGAAUUACUGGGCGUAAAGCGCGCGUAGGUGGUUUUGUAAGUUGGAGGUGAAAUCCCCGGGCUCAACCUGGGAACUGCCUCCAAAACUGCAUGACUAGAGUACGGUAGAGGGUAGUGGAAUUUCCUGUGUAGCGGUGAAAUGCGUAGAUAUAGGAAGGAACACCAGUGGCGAAGGCGACUACCUGGACUGAUACUGACACUGAGGUGCGAAAGCGUGGGGAGCAAACAGGAUUAGAUACCCUAGUAGUCC